RNAcentral lists this transfer RNA (68 nucleotides) under Rasbora borneensis. RNAcentral's name for it is "tRNA-Ser". Lineage: Eukaryota; Metazoa; Chordata; Actinopteri; Cypriniformes; Danionidae. The record is from RNAcentral.
AAGGAAGACCGAAAAUGAUAAGUACUGCUAACACUUAAAAACCAUGGUUAAACUCCGUGGCUUCUUAG